AUACGGAAGGUGCAAGCGUUAAUCGGAAUUACUGGGCGUAAAGCGCACGCAGGCGGUUUGUUAAGUCAGAUGUGAAAUCCCCGGGCUCAACCUGGGAACUGCAUCUGAUACUGGCAAGCUUGAGUCUCGUAGAGGGGGGUAGAAUUCCAGGUGUAGCGGUGAAAUGCGUAGAGAUCUGGAGGAAUACCGGUGGCGAAGGCGGCCCCCUGGACGAAGACUGACGCUCAGGUGCGAAAGCGUGGGGAGCAAACAGGAUUAGAUACCCUGGUAGUCCACGCCGUAAACGAUGUCGACUUGGAGGUUGUGCCCUUGAGGCGUGGCUUCCGGAGCUAACGCGUUAAGUCGACCGCCUGGGGAGUACGGCCGCAAGGUUAAAACUCAAAUGAAUUGACGGGG
This 396-nucleotide ribosomal RNA is filed under the name uncultured bacterium. Its description in RNAcentral is "partial 16S ribosomal RNA". It matches the Rfam family "Bacterial small subunit ribosomal RNA", at positions 523 to 918 of the family's 1533-position model. The record is from RNAcentral.